GAGACAGCAGCCGCCGCGGGAAUACGUAGGGUGCAAGCGUUAAUCGGAAUUACUGGGCGUAAAGCGUGCGCAGGCGGUUAUAUAAGACAGAUGUGAAAUCCCCGGGCUCAACCUGGGAACUGCAUUUGUGACUGUAUAGCUAGAGUACGGCAGAGGGGGAUGGAAUUCCGCGUGUAGCAGUAAAAUGCGUAGAUAUGCGGAGGAACACCGAUGGCGAAGGCAAUCCCCUGGGCCUGUACUGACGCUCAUGCACGAAAGCGUGGGGAGCAAACAGGAUUAGAUACCCCCGUAGUCCCUGUCUCUUAUAC
RNAcentral lists this ribosomal RNA (308 nucleotides) under uncultured bacterium. RNAcentral describes it as "partial 16S ribosomal RNA". It matches the Rfam family "Bacterial small subunit ribosomal RNA", at positions 505 to 807 of the family's 1533-position model. The record is from RNAcentral.